AGCUGAGCUGGCGAGGGUCCGCAGGCUUGCUCGGGAGCUCGGGCCCGCUCCUCCCCACCGGGGCAGCCACUGCCAGAAGGGACCGGACCGGAGACCUUCCUCCUCAGGCUGGAGGAAUCCCCAGCCAGCCUGCGCAGCCAUCAAGCUGCAACAAGAGGGAUUCACGGUAGACUUCGGAAGAAGGAGGGAGUUCCAAGCAGGAAAGAGGUUACAAGCAGCCGGUCAGCCACAAGAGAAAUGAGAACAAGACACAGUGAGUCUAAUACACACCCCAGGACCAAACCAUUUGCAACCGAAAGCUCCAUGCCGCUUCUUUCUCCACCAAAAGCCAGAUGGAUCCGUUCCAGCUCAGCAUUCCCGUCAGGAGACAAGCACAAGAUCCCGAGGCAAAGUUCCCAGGUGCAUCCGGAUUCAUUUCCCAGAAAUGAAAUUCAGUGUGUGUCCAGAACAUCCAUCUCUUUGUGAUGCGAACAUCUGGACUGCCUAUCCACGGAGUACCUGGCUCCAGAAAGGACCACUCCAGUCAAAAUUUUGUCCUCCUUCCUCAACUUCUCUGAGGCUCUGAUGCUUAAAAAAACUUGGGACCAAAACAUCAGUGAA
Molecule: long non-coding RNA, 600 nt
Organism: Ornithorhynchus anatinus (platypus)
Lineage: Eukaryota; Metazoa; Chordata; Mammalia; Monotremata; Ornithorhynchidae
Exons: 4
Source: RefSeq, a predicted model, not a curated record